RNAcentral lists this ribosomal RNA (458 nucleotides) under uncultured bacterium. Its description in RNAcentral is "partial 16S ribosomal RNA". It matches the Rfam family "Bacterial small subunit ribosomal RNA", at positions 338 to 795 of the family's 1533-position model. The record is from RNAcentral.
CCUACGGGUGGCAGCAGUGAGGAAUAUUGGUCAAUGGCCGGAAGGCUGAACCAGCCAUGCCGCGUGAAGGUCAGUGCCCUAUGGGCGUUAAACUUCUUUUGUGCGGGAGCAAUAAUGGUCACGUGUGGCCAGACGAGAGUACCGUACGAAUAAGCAUCGGCUAACUCCGUGCCAGCAGCCGCGGUAAUACGGGGGAUGCAAGCGUUAUCCGGAUUUAUUGGGCGUAAAGCGUGCGUAGGCGGUUUGUUAAGUCCAGAAUUAAAGCCCGAGGCUUAACCUCGGUUCGUUCUGGAAACUGGCAGACUAGAGUAUGGUAGAGGCAAAUGGAAUUCCUAGUGUAGCGGUGAAAUGCGUAGAUAUUAGGAGGAACACCAGUGGCGAAGGCGAUUUGCUGGGCCAUCACUGACGCUGAGGUACGAAAGCGUGGGGAGCAAAUAGGAUUAGAUACCCGGGUAGUC